CUACUCCACUGACCAGAUGUUUGACCUUCAAUCAACGUCUUCAUCCCACUGAACCACACUCAUGGCCCUCCUGAUGUGCUGACCCCUGCGAUUCCCCCAAAUGUGGGAAACGCGACUGCACGAUCUGUGGUCGCGGGGGACGGCGCUCUCGCUUUCCCCUG
Small nuclear RNA from Ursus americanus (American black bear), 161 nucleotides. Its record names the gene U1. It matches the Rfam family "U1 spliceosomal RNA". From Rfam's summary of the family: U1 is a small nuclear RNA (snRNA) component of the spliceosome (involved in pre-mRNA splicing). The record is from Ensembl. NCBI's taxonomy places the organism in Eukaryota, Metazoa, Chordata, Mammalia, Carnivora, Ursidae.